RNAcentral lists this ribosomal RNA (46 nucleotides) under Microsporum canis. RNAcentral's name for it is "partial 28S ribosomal RNA". RNAcentral also lists the same sequence under 3 other names. The record is from RNAcentral. Lineage: Eukaryota; Fungi; Ascomycota; Eurotiomycetes; Onygenales; Arthrodermataceae.
GACCUCGGAUCAGGUAGGGAUACCCGCUGAACUUAAGCAUAUCAUA